Long non-coding RNA from Glycine soja, 1822 nucleotides. RefSeq lists it as uncharacterized. The transcript is spliced from 6 exons. Lineage: Eukaryota; Viridiplantae; Streptophyta; Magnoliopsida; Fabales; Fabaceae. The record is from RefSeq and is a predicted model, not a curated record.
UUGCAAGUUGCAACAAACAGAUGUUGAUGCCAUUCUCCUAAUACACAAGUAAUUUAUUUUUUAGAAGGAUAUAUUUAACCAAUGAAAGUAGUAAGCACACAAGGAAACUUUAUUAAACAUCAAUAAGGGUAUGGCAUUCAACCGCUAUCUAUACCUUCUCCUAGUUGGUGUCUUCACUCUUGUUAUAAGCUCCUCCGUUACAAUCACACAUGCUGUUGCGCCUAUUCUUGAUGUUUCUUCUCUAAAUUGAAGCCGUUUUCCCUCAGGUUUCAUCUUUGGCACCGCCUCCUCCGCAUACCAGUACGAAGGUGCUGCAAAUGAAGGAGGCAGAGGACCAAGUACAUGGGAUACCUAUUCUCAUAAAUAUCCAGGCAUCUCUGUUCAAUCCUUUAAUUUCUUUAAUCGGUGAAUAAUUUGAAAGAGAGAUGAAAAAGAUGCUUGAUUUACCUGAUCUGGUUUUAUACAUUAGUGUAAUAGGUGAAAACUAAAAAAUUAGUUUAAAAUUAUCCUUAGUGUGAAAACCAGAUAAACUCAAGGUCUCUGGACCGGAUUGCUUGAACCUCUCACAGUAUAAAAAUAUUGUAUUAGCUGAAGAUAAGGAACAUACAGAGUGGAGUUCCUCUCUUUUUCUGUGUAAAAUUUGAUUAGUUGUGUUGUUUUGUCACAUUAUGGUAUGCAAAAGUCGUUCUUAAGACACUGUUAAAAGUGAAGAAUCAGAACAGAUUUUAAGAAAACAGAGAUAAUUAAUUAGGUAUUUAAGAAGACAAAAGCUGAGGCUAAAUCAGUAUAUUGAUUUGAUAACCGUUGUUCCACUCCCUCUGGCCAACGGCAGUUGCCCUGUAUCUGUUUUCUUCAUUCUUCAUGUAGUAAUUGGUGCAUUUGCAAACAGAAAAAAUAUCGGAUAGAAGCAAUGGAGAUGUAGCAGUUGAUCAAUAUCAUCACUAUAAGGAAGAUGUUGGGAUCAUGAAGUAAAUGAACACUGAUGCUUACAGAUUCUCCAUCUCUUGGUCAAGGAUAUUACCAAGUAAUCAAAUCGGAUUUAGUUUCAUCCUUACCAGUUUCAAAAUGACUUCCAAGACUACACAGAGCUAUGCUUCAAGGAAUUUGGAGAUAGAGUGAAGCAUUGAAUUACUUCUAAUGAGCCAUGGAGUUACAGUAUGAGUUCAGAACCCUGCAUGAGCUCUCACUACCAACUACUUGCUCAUGCAGCUGCUGUCAAAAUUUAUAAAACCAAUCUAAGUGUGUUUGGCGUCUCAAAAUGGUUUGAUAGGCAUCACCUUAAAUUGUCACUGGUUUGUUCCGUUCUCAAAUGACACAUUAGAUCAUCAAGCUUCCCAACGAGCUCUUGAUUUCAUGUUUGGAUGGUUUAUGCAACCACUUACAACAGGAAAUUAUCCAGAAACCAUGCAGUCUUUGCUGGGAAGUCGAUUACCAAACUUCACAGGAGCAAUCCAAGCUACUUAUUGGAUACUUACAGAAUUGACUACUUCUAUCGCCAUCUUUAUUAUAUUCUAAUUGCAAUCAAGUAAGUGUGACACUCUCUUCACUUAUUCCAUAAUUUAAUUUUAUGAUUUUUUGUUGGCUUUUGGUGCGAAGGGAUGGGGUGAAUGUACAAGGAUAUUUUGCACGGUCGCUUAUGGACAACUUCGAAUGGAGUGCUGGCUACACCUUGCGUUUUGGAAUUAACUUCGUUGAUUACAAGGAUAAUUUGAAAAGACACCAAAAGCUCUCUGCCCAUUUGGUUUAGGAAUUUUCUUCAAAAAUACUAGACUCAUUGUAUGAUGACCUCUAUAAUUAAUAAAAUAAAAUGAAAACUUGGCAA